GAGGCUGAGGUGGGAGGAUUUCUUGAGCCCAGGAGGUCAAAGCUGUGGUGAGCCGUGAACGUGCCACAGCACUCCAGUCUGGGCGAUAGAGUGAGACCCUGUCUCAAAAACAAAAACA
This is a long non-coding RNA of Nomascus leucogenys (northern white-cheeked gibbon), 118 nucleotides long. RefSeq lists it as uncharacterized. The transcript is spliced from 2 exons. Lineage: Eukaryota; Metazoa; Chordata; Mammalia; Primates; Hylobatidae. The record is from RefSeq and is a predicted model, not a curated record.